Molecule: unclassified non-coding RNA, 696 nt
Filed under: Hevea brasiliensis (rubber tree)
Lineage: Eukaryota; Viridiplantae; Streptophyta; Magnoliopsida; Malpighiales; Euphorbiaceae
Source: RNAcentral
UGCCAGACAACCAUUUAGCAAUCUCUUGGUGAUCUCUACCAAACUGCUCAGCUGCAUACUUUACAAAAUCACGAGCAUAGCUAUUCUCGAAGCAAGUAAUGCCAAACUUCCUCCUAGGCAAAAAGUUUGAAUCUUUAAAGUACCCUUCAUUGUAUAAAUGAGUCACAAACAUCACCAUAUCAGGUGAAAGCUCUUUGAACACAGUAUGAUCCUCCAUGCUUAACGGCGUCGACUUCCUUGAUUUUACACUCCUAACCUCCUCAUUCAUAAACAAUUCAUGUAAUUUCUUACUCUUCCCCUCAUUUUCUGACACCCCAUCACCAUUUCCAGCUUCCUCCUUCUUAUUAGCUAUCUCAUUUCUCCUCUUCUCCCGCAAAACCCUAACUUCUUCCUCCAAUUUUCUCAAUUUACACUUCAAUUCUUUGUUUUCAGUUUCAUUCUCACUUUCUGAUACUUCAGACUUUUCUAAUAGACCAACAGCUUCUUGAAAGAAAACACCCAAUGGUUUCUUUGCUACACUAUCUGAACUUGCUGAUUUUUUCUGAGACUGAGCUGAAAACGAAAAGGGUCUCCCCAAAAACGAUGAAAAUUGAUAUGGGGCUGAUGAAUUCAAGCAUGUUGAUGCUAAUGAGUUCGGGGUAAGUUGAAGAACUGUUAAAACACGCCAAGAAUUGAAUUUUCUCAGGUAUAUCAUUG